AGUGAACGCUGGCGGUAGGCCUAACACAUGCAAGUCGAACGGCAGCACAGUAAGAGCUUGCUCUUACGGGUGGCGAGUGGCGGACGGGUGAGGAAUACAUCGGAAUCUACUUUUUCGUGGGGGAUAACGUAGGGAAACUUACGCUAAUACCGCAUACGACCUACGGGUGAAAGCAGGGGAUCUUCGGACCUUGCGCGAUUGAAUGAGCCGAUGUCGGAUUAGCUAGUUGGCGGGGUAAAGGCCCACCAAGGCGACGAUCCGUAGCUGGUCUGAGAGGAUGAUCAGCCACACUGGAACUGAGACACGGUCCAGACUCCUACGGGAGGCAGCAGUGGGGAAUAUUGGACAAUGAGCGCAAGCCUGAUCCAGCCAUACCGCGUGGGUGAAGAAGGCCUUCGGGUUGUAAAGCCCCUUUGUUGGGAAAGAAAAGCAGCAGGUUAAUACCCCGCUGUUCUGACGGUACCCAAAGAAUAAGCACCGGCUAACUUCGUG
This 492-nucleotide ribosomal RNA is filed under the name uncultured bacterium. RNAcentral describes it as "partial 16S ribosomal RNA". It matches the Rfam family "Bacterial small subunit ribosomal RNA", at positions 29 to 507 of the family's 1533-position model. The record is from RNAcentral.